UGCUUUCCUUUUCAUUUUACGCAACAACCUAUAUUGGAAGAGCCGUGAGACAAACCUUCUACUUCUUCUUACAAUGUUUCAUCCAACAAAGAAUUAAUGUCAACCACUUUUUCUUAUGUCUUUUUUUAAAUAAGAUAAAUGUAAAACCAUCCUUAUAAUAUAAAAAUUAUUUUCUUUCUUUCUCAUAACCUUCCUAAAUCAUUAUAUUUUAAAUUACAUAAUUCAAAACUAUAUUAUAGAUUUUAAAGUCCAAAACUCUUAUUUUAA
RNAcentral lists this long non-coding RNA (267 nucleotides) under Phaseolus vulgaris (common bean). RNAcentral's name for it is "long non-coding RNA (PVUL_LNC001331)". The record is from RNAcentral. Lineage: Eukaryota; Viridiplantae; Streptophyta; Magnoliopsida; Fabales; Fabaceae.